RNAcentral lists this unclassified non-coding RNA (301 nucleotides) under uncultured fungus. RNAcentral describes it as "partial contains small subunit ribosomal RNA, internal transcribed spacer 1, and 5.8S ribosomal RNA". The stretch from base 1 to 73 matches the Rfam family "Eukaryotic small subunit ribosomal RNA", at positions 1759 to 1831 of the family's 1831-position model. The record is from RNAcentral. Lineage: Eukaryota; Fungi.
GCAAACUUGGUCAUUUAGAGGAAGUAAAAGUCGUAACAAGGUUUCCGUAGGUGAACCUGCGGAAGGAUCAUCAAAGGGGGAAGGGUGGGGGGAGUCCUGGGGGAUUUUCCUCACCCAACCAAUCUUGUGUGAACUGUAGCGAGCAUACGCGUGGGUGUGUUGGUGGGAAAGGGAGUGUCUCUUGCCCACCGCCAUCACGCUUGCACAACCAUCUCAUUCACCUUGUCUAACCUGUCACAAAUAACACAUCACAACUUUUAACAAUGGAUCUCUUGGCUCUCGCAUCGAUGAAGAACGCAGC